GGAUGAGCCCGCGGCCUAUCAGCUUGUUGGUGGGGUGAUGGCCUACCAAGGCGGUGACGGGUAGCCGGCCUGAGAGGGCGACCGGCCACACUGGGACUGAGACACGGCCCAGACUCCUACGGGAGGCAGCAGUGGGGAAUAUUGCGCAAUGGGCGGAAGCCUGACGCAGCGACGCCGCGUGGGGGAUGACGGCCUUCGGGUUGUAAACCUCUUUCGCCAGGGACGAAGAGCAAUUGACGGUACCUGGAGAAGAAGCACCGGCCAACUACGUGCCAGCAGCCGCGGUAACACGUAGGGUGCGAGCGUUGUCCGGAAUUAUUGGGCGUAAAGAGCUCGUAGGCGGUGUGUCGCGUCGGCCGUGAAAACUUGGGGCUUAACUCUGAGCGUGCGGUCGAUACGGGCAUCACUUGAGUUCGGCAGGGGAGACUGGAAUUCCUGGUGUAGCGGUGAAAUGCGCAGAUAUCAGGAGGAACACCGGUGGCGAAGGCGGGUCUCUGGGCCGAUACUGACGCUGAGGAGCGAAAGCGUGGGGAGCGAACAGGAUUAGAUACCCUGGUAGUCCACGCCGUAAACGUUGGGCGCUAGGUGUGGGGACCAUUCCACGGUUUCUGUGCCGCAGCUAACGCAUUAAGCGCCCCGCCUGGGGAGUACGG
Molecule: ribosomal RNA, 653 nt
Filed under: uncultured Bacillus sp.
Lineage: Bacteria; Bacillati; Bacillota; Bacilli; Caryophanales; Bacillaceae
Description: bacterial SSU rRNA
Rfam family: Bacterial small subunit ribosomal RNA
Source: RNAcentral